Molecule: non-coding RNA, 685 nt
Organism: Chiloscyllium plagiosum (whitespotted bambooshark)
Lineage: Eukaryota; Metazoa; Chordata; Chondrichthyes; Orectolobiformes; Hemiscylliidae
Source: RefSeq, a predicted model, not a curated record
GGAAAUAUUUACGUCAAAAUAUGGUUUUGACUGUUUACGCUAAAUGCUAUUAUCUAGAGCAUCCACAAAACCUCAAAACUGCUUCAGUUUUGAACCAACCAAAAGUGACAAGUUGGAUAACUAAUAGAGAGAAAUAAAGGUUUGAACAUCUUUUAACCGAUCGAAAUAUGGGACGUAAUCAAGAGGUGCUGUGUGAUGGACAGAUUAUUGAUGGGGCAUACUACUGAAAGAAACCAGUGCAGCCUGUGGAUGAUCCCUAUGGUUUAAAUGCUGUCAUUGUUUUUGGAACUUUCUCUGUCCCAUUAGCAGACAUGUAUCCUGAAAUUACACAUUUGGAAGAACCAACAGUUGGAAUUCCUGAACCUGAGGAAGAGAAUUCUGCAUCUUAGGCAGCACCAGUGUAACAGAAUUUACAAUAUGGCUCCUUCCUACCAUUUCAAUCUGAAGACACAUUACUUGCACAAGGAAAUUAAACUUCAUCAACACAAUCAUUUAAAAGCUAGAUAAAAGUAGUUUGAUUUUGUAGCAUUGUUGUUUUCCGAUUAAAUGGUGCUUUUCCUUUAUCAAGCAUUCAGAAAUGUUCAAAAGAAGCAACAUGGGGGGAUCCAAGGUGGCGGCGACCCAGCAAGACUGACUCUAUAGUGCUCCUCCCAAGACUUGGGUACAGUGGGUCACCCACGCCCUA